UAGGGAAUCUUCGGCAAUGGGGGGAACCCUGACCGAGCAACGCCGCGUGAGUGAAGAAGGUUUUCGGAUCGUUAAGCUCUGUUGUUAAGGAAGAACGAGUGUGAGAAUGGAAAGUUCAUACUGUGACGGUACUUAACCAGAAAGGGACGGCUAACUACGUGCCAGCAGCCGCGGUAAUACGUAGGUCCCGAGCGUUGUCCGGAUUUAUUGGGCGUAAAGCGAGCGCAGGCGGUUAGAUAAGUCUGAAGUUAAAGGCAGUGGCUCAACCAUUGUAGGCUUUGGAAACUGUUUAACUUGAGUGCAGAAGGGGGGAGUGGAAUUCCAUGUGUAGCGGUGAAAUGCGUAGAUAUAUGGAGGAACACCGGUGGCGAAAGCGGCUCUCUGGUCUGUAACUGACGCUGAGGCUCGAAAGCGUGGGGAGCGAACAGG
RNAcentral lists this ribosomal RNA (429 nucleotides) under Bacteroidota bacterium. RNAcentral describes it as "Bacteroidetes bacterium partial 16S ribosomal RNA". It matches the Rfam family "Bacterial small subunit ribosomal RNA", at positions 355 to 776 of the family's 1533-position model. The record is from RNAcentral. Lineage: Bacteria; Pseudomonadati; Bacteroidota.